UCCUCUGCGGGAGGCGAUGACGCGUGGCCCACGCCCCCGGUCGCCCGGUCCGCGCCGAGCCACUGGCGAGACCGACCGCAGAUCG
This 85-nucleotide non-coding RNA is filed under the name unclassified sequences. Its description in RNAcentral is "c-di-GMP sequence". It matches the Rfam family "c-di-GMP-II-GAG riboswitch aptamer". The record is from Rfam by way of RNAcentral.